UGUUCUCCACAGCUCCCCAAUAGAGAAGAACAAACCUGGGGGGGCCAUGAGACAUUGCACUCGGCUCACACACAGAGGAGCCCCACCAAACAAAGCAGGGGACGGGAUGAGGAGGGAUCUCCACAAGUAUUUCUGCUGCCCAGUUUCCUGUGGAUUUAGGGACUAAGGGUCUCCCAUUUCUGUGUGCCCCAUCCCUGUAUGCUCUCACCUCCAUUCUCUCAGUCUCACUGAGCCUGUAGUUUGGGAAAAACAGGCUCCCACCCAAACCAGUUUGCCACAGCCCUCUCCUUGUGUGCAAGAUAAGCAGGUAUGGCUUUCAAACCAGUACGGUUUGGCUGUAGAGCUGGGGAGAGAUGUAGGUCUCAGUCAGUCCUGCAACAUUUCUGACCUCGUUUGGCUGCAAGUCUCAUGCCUCAAGCAACAACCUUAUAUCUUUGAAGCUUACCCUUUGUCCUAUUCCAGUUAUAAAGCUAUUUUAUCAACGUGGAAUGGGAUAAUUCAAUCUCCACAACCCUCAGUGCUGAGCUCUUCUAUUGAGAUUCCCAGUAGCAUUGUGUUUUCAGCAAUGACACUAUUACUAUCAUUUUGUGGAGGUUUCUGAAUUCAUGCCUUGGUGAUCUCUAACGCCACAAAGCAGGGAUGGGUAUUUCAUCCCAUCAGGGUGUUGGAAAUAGUAUAAGAAAAACUUAGGUUAAUAUAAUCCAAACACUAUCUCAGAUUGUGCCAAUCAAGAAGCUGGAUUCCAGCACUUCACAUCUUCAUGUUGGCUGCAAGGUUUUUAAAUGUGUUUGCUUUCUGCAGAAUAAACACCGUUUUCAAGCAGUGUAGUUUCCAUUUGGAAAGCAAAACUUCUUGCUCUAAAAAUGCCAAAGCAAAUUUGAUUUUAAAUUCUUCUUUAAUUGAUGCAAUUUCAUCUGGAUCAUUCCUUUUCUGCAGCUUCAGAGUCAACAAAUGGACAUGGUGAGAUGUUCCCUGGGAAAGUUUAUGACCACUGUUACUUCACCUCUGUGAGUUUCCACCUCUAAGCGGGUUGGUCCUGGGCUGAGAAGGUCGAUCCCUGCUGGUGCUGUCUGCUGAAUCAAGGGGAGAGCCCUUAAGAGCCUGACACAAGCACCCCGGGCUGUGCCAGCCUCAUCUUGCACAGGAGACCCGCUUACCACCAUAAGCUGGGUGAGUUCACAAACCAAGUGAGGCAUGGGGUUCAAGGUAAAGCCAACAUCAGCAGUGAGAUCCAGGUCUGACUUAUCCACUCCUGGAGGGGGCUGGAAAACAAAUCUGCGGAGCAAGCCAGCAAAGAAAAGGAACAGCUCCAUUUUGGCCAGUCCUUCUCCAACACAAGCCCUUCGUCCUGAAAACAGCCAGGAGAGAAGUAUAUGGUGAGUGCUGUAACUGUUACUGUUGAUGUCCGAGACCUUUUAAACUGGAUGUACCAUCUGUAAGAGCAGGCUGCUCAGGUUUGUUGUUGAGCCAAGGGAGCUUGUAGUCACUACAGUACAUCCCAUGCCUGAUUCUGAUUACACACCUUUGUUACCCCAUAACCUUCAACAGAAACCAGAUCAGAAUCAGCUCCUGAGGAGACCUUUAGUGACGUAAGCCCAUAGCCUGCAGAAGAAGACCCCAGCGCACAGUUGUAGAAGUAGUCUCAGUCCCAGCAGCAAAGAGGUCCAGGGUUGAAAACAUCAAGUUUCCAUUGCUGAACAUAGUUUGGCCUUUCUUUGACUCCUUCAAAACAUACAGGAAGGUUUAGGAUGAUCUCCUCCUUAUGUGUGCUGAGUGGUAACUUAUUUCACUUAUGUGGGACAUCUUGACAACUAGAUCCCUGUAACCAGCAGUUUCAGUGGAGCUAUGGAGCGAGCACAGCACGGCUCAAUGAAUUGCAUGUUUUCCUUCUGCCUGCUCACUCAGACCCUACCUCUGUCAGCGACUGGAACGGCUUUUUCAGGUCCACCACAUUCAAGUUUCCAAUCAGAGGAAGAGGACGUGGCCCAG
Long non-coding RNA from Pezoporus flaviventris, 1989 nucleotides. RefSeq lists it as uncharacterized. Lineage: Eukaryota; Metazoa; Chordata; Aves; Psittaciformes; Psittacidae. The transcript is spliced from 7 exons. The record is from RefSeq and is a predicted model, not a curated record.